GCGGAAGUUGCAGUGAGCCGAGAUUGCGCUACUGCAUUCCAGCCCGAGUGACAGAGCGAGACUCCAUCUUAACAACAACAACAAGACAAACGCACAAGAUUUGGGGACUCAGCCAGGCCGGGGUUUGGUUCUUGGUUCUGUCACUUGCUAGCUCAGUGGCUUUUGGCAAGUCAGUUUAUCUGCAGCUUCGUUGCUACCUCUACAUUAUGGAGAUGAAAGUGUCCACCUCCAAGUGUGGUUUUGAAGAUUCAAUGAGAUAAUGUGAAUAAAGUGUGUAGCGAAGUGUUUGGCACAAAGCUAAUAUUGAGUCAUUUAUUAUUACCACGGACAUUAAUAAUCAGAGGAAAAUAAGUUUUAAAGGUAAAACUUCUUUUGCGAGAAACCCUCAUGGACACAGGCAGCGGAGUGGCGAAGCGAUCCCUGAGGUCAGGUUCUGAGUUCAGAACCAGGGCAAAGCACAGAGCAAGCGGCACUCAAGUCUUCCCAGUGAAGAUGCUUUUGGUUGCAAGGAGCAGAAACUCUCUCACUGAGCUGGAGUCCUGAAUUCGUUAUGAUAUCAGGUGUCAGGGAAACCAGGCCAAGAGAUGCCACCAGCUUUCAUGAAGCACCAGUACAGAAAUAUGGACGCCAAUACCAUGACCCUCUCUUCCCAUCUCUUCCCUCUCCUUUCCUUCUACACCUGCUCUGUGCCCCAGGUCCACAGCAUCCCAGCGGUGAGUGCCUGUGUUACAUGUCCUCACUUCGGCCACGUGCCGAGGAAAUGCUGCCAAGUUCCGGGCUUGCUCUUUUCUCCUCUCUGCUCAGGCCUCUCCCUCCUCCUUCAUGAUUUAGGCUGCUUUAGGCCAUGCAGCUGUGGUAAGUGUCCUAGGGUCACUCAUGGCCACCCUCUAUAGAAGCUCCCUGUGGGCUGUGAGUAAAAGUGAUGUCCAGAGAAAGGGCUGUGCGUUGAUGCCCCCAAAGGGCAUUCCCUGAAUUUUAUUUGGUUUCCUGACAUUUGCCACAGGACCACAGUUGGUGACAGAUUCCCAGGAUGCUGGCUAGGAUCGGACCCAGGCGGCACUUCUGGAUUCCUAGUUUUUGCUGGAGAGGGGUCGACUGCCAGAUUAACAGGCUGUCUGGCAAAUGGCGGCCUUCGGCAGCACUUAGGUCCGAAAACACAAAGGUUGGCCUAAGAAAACCAUAAUUAACUACACACACACACACACACACACACACACACACACACACACACACACUCACUAGAAAUAAAAGACUAGUGUCUCUUUUAAUUGUCAUUUUUAUAGCUCCCCACCGCAGCUGCCCCCCACCCUUC
This 1312-nucleotide long non-coding RNA is filed under the name Homo sapiens (human). Its description in RNAcentral is "HSALNT0156127". The record is from RNAcentral. Lineage: Eukaryota; Metazoa; Chordata; Mammalia; Primates; Hominidae.